This 252-nucleotide unclassified non-coding RNA is filed under the name plant metagenome. Its description in RNAcentral is "partial contains small subunit ribosomal RNA, internal transcribed spacer 1, and 5.8S ribosomal RNA". The record is from RNAcentral.
UCUCCGUUGGUGAACCAGCGGAGGGAUCAUUACCGAGUUUACAACUCCCAAACCCCUGUGAACUUAUACCUUUACCGUUGCUUCGGCGGGUCAUUGCCCCGGGGAAACAGGCGGCCGUCAGGUCCCUGCCCACCCGGAAACAGGCGCCCGCCGGGGGACUCAAACUCUUCUGUAUUUUUUUGUUUACUGUAUACUGUCUGAGUAAAAAUUCAUAAUGAAUCAAAACUUUCAACAACGGAUCUCUUGGUUCUG